Long non-coding RNA from Patella vulgata (common limpet), 4050 nucleotides. RefSeq lists it as uncharacterized. The record is from RefSeq and is a predicted model, not a curated record. NCBI's taxonomy places the organism in Eukaryota, Metazoa, Mollusca, Gastropoda, Patellidae. The transcript is spliced from 5 exons.
UGGCAACGCUACUUAUGACCAUCUGUUAAUUAUUCUAUCAGCUAACCGUACUGGUACAACUCAAUGGCGGUGUAAACAUAUAACAGAUGCCCGAUAUUUUUCACAGACUGUCUCCAUAAAAAUAAAAACUAAAGAUCAAACACAGAAAAAUGCUGAAAACACGACCACUGGUGGCCAAAUGGAAAAUAUUGCUGAUUCAAAUAUUACAUUAUUUGCUGUAAUUGGAGCUGGUUGCCUGUUUGGUUUGUUGUUUAUUGGAUGUUUUAUUUACGUAGCCAGUCGCCAUAGACAACAGAACACAGAACCAAGAAAGAAAACUGAGAAUUCAGACCCAGUGGUUGAGGAAAGUAAGAUGUACCCGAGUGUAAAUACGAUCGCGAUGGGUGGAGAUUACGAGGCUAUGGAUGAUUUACCCGCCUGGAAUGAUAACAGAGAUAACUCAAACAAGACUGGUGCUUAUGAUCCUAAUAAAAUUUAUGGUGUAGUCAAUAAAAACACCAACAAAGGAACCACAACUUUCCAGCAAAACCCAGAACAACCGCCUUAUAGUUUACCCGAUCAACAAGCGAUUUAUUCACAAGUUCAACGCAAUCCUAUUGUUGAAAGUCAAGACAUACCAGCCGCCGCACUAACUGUAGAAUAUGCAGAAAUAAAUUACGCUACCAAAAAGCAACAUAACUAACACGGACAAAUUUUACUUGGAAUUACUAUCAAGGUCCUGGAUAUUAGUUUUCUGUCACAGCGCGGACGAAUUCGUAAGCGAAUGUUGACAAGAAUUUUAAUCGCCAUUCAUCCGUUAAAAAAAAUAGCAUGCACGAGGACUCAAAAACUCUCAAGUAUAUCCCUAUGUAAUUAUGGUUGAUUUUUUUUUAAAGAUGCAUUAUGCCAGAUUUAGAUAAAGAGCUGGUCGUUAUUGCUAUAAUAGUUCAAAAAUAGAUAAUUCAAAAUUAAAUAUUAAUCAAGUUAUCACUGUUCGAAGUUUUGACAAGAUGUGUCAAAUAAUGUUCAUUACCGUAGCAACGUUAUUUGUUAAUCGAGACUCAGUCUCGCUUCUCCAUUUUUAUAUUAAACCAUUACAUGGCGAUCGCAUUUCAAUGGACAGUCUAAUAAAUGGAUUAUAGGCUUGUCAUGUGAAUAAAUGGAUUAUAGGCUUGUCAUGUGAAUAAAUGUCUAAAUAAUAAACUUUAUAAGAUUUAAAGCCAAAAUAAAAAGCUACAAUUCGCAGAUUUAGCUCUUACAUAAUGCAUCGUUAAUAUUUACAAAACAUUUUUAUUAUUCCACAAUUUCUUUAUUAUUCCAAAUGUAUUUUUAAACAAUAUUUAACAUUCUUUUAUAUUAGCUAUAUUUUUCAGGUUUAAGAACUUGCAUGCACGAGGACUUAUAUUAGAUAUAUUUUUCAGGUUUAAGAACUUGCAUGCACGAGGACUUAUAUUAGAUAUAUUAUUCACGUUUAAGAAUUUGCAUGCAUGGGGACUCAUAAACUGUCAUGUAAUAUAGUAGAUUUGUUAAAUAUUUAUAUAAAAAGUUUUAUUAUUCUAUAAUUUAUUAGUUUGUAUUUUUCCACAAUAUUUAAUAUAUAUCUGUAUAUUAGCUAUAUUUGUUCACUUUAAGAAUUUGCAUGCAUGAAGACUUAUAAACUGUCAUGUAAAUGAUAGUAGAUUUGUUAAAUAUUUCUAAAAAAAUAAAUAUUAUUCUAUAAUUCAUUAGUUUGUAUUAUUCCACACUGUUUUAUAUUACUGUAUGUUAGCUAUAUUAUUCUCUAAUUUAUUAAUAUGCAGAAUUAAUAUUCGUAUAUACAUAUUAGCUAUAUGUUUCAGGUUUAACUUAAAAGAUUUCGUCCCAGACAUAUUUUAGUGAAUCAAACUGGGCAAAUAAUUUUUAAAAGAAUGUUACAAAUUUGACCCCUUUCAAAGAGACCUGGCAACGUUUUUACGCGCGGUGUUGUUUUUAUAUUCAUGGUUUACUAAUGCAGGUUUCAUAUAAUACGGCUAGGUAUAUAACUAUUUGUCUUCAUUUAGAAAUUACUUGAAUCGAAUACAAGUUCAUUCCCGUGUAGAGUAAGAUUUUGAAAAUAUUUUCCUUUAAAGGGAUAUAACUUAUUCAAAGAUUUUUUUUUUUUUUAAAAAUAUGACCUUUAUGGAGAAUGGGCAGAAUUAGGAUAAUGUAGACCUUAAUUAAAAUUACACUGUAUAUUUUUUAUUCUUUAUUCUAUUACGGAAGCGUAUAGGGGUCAUGCAAAAUUUUGUAUAAGGUCUCGAGAUCCUGCGAUCCUGUGAUACUUUCUCGAUAUCCCGUGAUCACCUGAUAAUUUUCUCGAGAUCUUAAUUUAAUUUUCUCGAAAUCCCCUGAUAAUUUUCCUGAGAUAUUGACAUCCUGUGUAAAUUUUCUCGAGAAUUCGAGUUAAUAUUCUCGAGAUAUUGACAUCCUGUGUAAAUUUUCGCGAGAUCCCGAGUUAAUAUGAAACCUUAUACGAUAUAGUGUCUCCGCGGAGUGAUGCAACCAUUGGCCCAAUACUUUGCACCCGAUUUGAUAAAAAAAAAACAUUUGUUACAAAGGGUACCCAUGAUUUACACUCAAUUUGAAAUAUGAUUAAAAUCGAUACGUUUCAUCGUCUUAUGGCCCAAAUUUGAAUUACAGACAUGCUUGUUAAAUUAUUUCAAUUUAAUGUUUCUUCGACGUUUAAUAGAAUAUGUCAUCUUUUGCAUGGUUUUCGGACCAUAUUUUGUUUUAGAAUAAAGCUAGACACAGAGUUUAUUGACUUGUGGCAGAAAUGCUUCGGGGCAGAUUUUAAAUCAAAAAUCUUGAAAAACUCUGGGCUCUAACGCGUUCAUAAGGGAUCGCUGCAAAUCAAUAAGGUUCAUUGUUCCGCCGAAAAUAAAUAGGGUUUCUCUGCUUAUGACACUAAUGAUUCAAAAUAAAUUUGAACGAUAGCCACACAAAGUGUGGAGAUCCGCCCACGCAGCAUGUCUCAAUAAAUAGUGACCCAAAUACGCUUCCAUAAAUGAACUGCUCUUUUCAUUUUCUUUGUUUUCUUUGUUUCGUUUGAAUUUGAUUUAUCUGUUUAGUUUUUGAUUGUUUAAUUUUUGUUAAUGAAGUUGAUUCUUUUAAACUUCGUUUUUAUUUUUGAACUCUACUUGGUGUAGGUGUUCAUCAGGUAAUACCUCGACUGGGUUCAAUAUAGAGAUUAGCCGGUUGAUUUGUUGAUAUAAACCUUUGAAUAAUAGCGCCUAACAGACAGCUGUGUUUAAUUAUGUUCUCCUGAUUUUGAUUGUUUCUGUGUGUUUGAAGUAUAUGUUUUUGAUAUGCGCUUAGAAACACUUCACGUGUAAUGAAGCGCUAUAUAAAUCGAACAAUAAUAAUAAUAAUCUAUGCCUCAACAGCAGAUUAUUCGAAAGGAAAACUUGGAUGUUUAAUAAAUUGAAUAAGGAUCUAGCAUUCUUCAAGAAAUCUUAUCUCUAUCGUGUUCACGUGCUUGUUACAUCUCUGGGACAAAAAAACUUAUAUUGCUGAAAAAUAACAGGGGUCAUCCUUGUCGCGGAACACUGAAUUUCGAAAAUCCGUUAAAAACAAGGUUUUCAAAGAAUGGAGAGUAUAACCCCGGAACGGAAGGUCGUUAACCACUGAAUAUCGAUAAAGUUCAUGACCCCAAAGCUUCACACAAAAUUGUAAAAGUGAAACCUCUAUGGCGUGAACAAAGCUUUCAGGGAGCGGGCGGGGAGCGGGGUAUAUUAAGGAACAGAAGGUCACCGAAUGCUGAAUAUCGAUAGGGUUCGUCCUCACAUUGUCACAUAUCUGAAAGAAAUACGGACAAAGUUUGCGGAGUACUGAAAAUCGAAAGGUCCUAGUGCUUCACACCACAUUUAAAAAACAAAAUCAGUUAAAAACUGUAGCCUCUAUUGCGUUAACAAGGUUUUUCGGAUAAGGGGGAUAACUCCAGAUUGAUGAGGUGCGCUGGAAGCUAGAAGCGACAGGGACCGUCCUCUCAUGGCCACAAUGCUUUACAGUAAACUGUAGGCUCUAUCGUCCUAUUAUGGUUUUCGGGAAAGUGUG